Corvus hawaiiensis (hawaiian crow) is the source of this 952-nucleotide long non-coding RNA. RefSeq lists it as uncharacterized. Lineage: Eukaryota; Metazoa; Chordata; Aves; Passeriformes; Corvidae. The record is from RefSeq and is a predicted model, not a curated record. The transcript has 3 exons.
CUUACAAAGGGCAACAAGGCAAUGAACUAAGAGCUUCUACACAGUGUUUUGGAAAUUAACUAGGCAAUCAAAUCACGCGCCUUCCUCAAGCCUCUUCCAAUCAUCCUACAAGUGUCCCAGGAAGAGUAUAUUAAGCAAAGGGAAAACUAGCAUCAUCUGAACAGCUUGGAUGUUAAGGGAGCAGGCUCUGAGGAAGUGGACGGCACCAACAAAUCGGCUGCUUUGAAAUUACAGACCAUUUAACCGAGAAAACUUGAAAGACAUAAUCUUUUCUUCUACUGACCUUGCGGUUCCCCCAUAUGAGCCUACCACCAUUGUAUCUGCAGUUACAGAUUUUGGCUGUCACUUCCUCCUAUAUUUUUAACAGAUGGGUUCAUUUGUUAGUAUGCUUUUUCUCAUGCCUGCUUUUAAUUUUCCUCUUUCCCCAUCCUCAAAGCACCAACUUUAUAUGUAAUGCUUCCUCUCUCAGAGACACAUCACCCUCCACAGCCCUGCGGAGGCCAAGGAGUCUGAGACCUCACUCUACCACCAUGAGGAGCGUGUCAGCUGCUCUGCACCACGGAAGAGCUUUCUGUGAAAUACAAAAAAUCCUUCCCAGGGGACAGUGACGUGACAAGAACAGCUCAUUGUUUUGGGUUUAUAUUCACAAAAGGUGAUGAAGUAUGCAACUUAAAUAAGAAGGAUUGGGUACUGCUUUUGGCAUCCUGUGAUACCAUGAAUAGCUGCCACUGAAACCAAGAAUCCUUCAAGUGACAUCCAUUUGCAAACCUGCCUGAGGACACAUGGGUUGAAUUUGCUUUGAAGAGAUGCAACAAAGCACAAAAUUCCAGUCUGCUUUCAAAUAAUCAGCCAUAGUGAUAAGAGUAUUUGGAUCCAAAUAUAAAUUGUCAUCAGUUUUUAGAUGUUUCAUCACUGGCUUGAAGUUAAACCCAUACCACAAUAAAUAAAAAAA